UACGUAGGGUGCAAGCGUUAAUCGGAAUUACUGGGCGUAAAGCGUGCGCAGGCGGUUGUGCAAGACCGAUGUGAAAUCCCCGGGCUUAACCUGGGAAUGGCAUUGGUGACUGCACGGCUAGAGUGUGUCAGAGUGGGGUAGAAUUCCACGUGUAGCAGUGAAAUGCGUAGAGAUGUGGAGGAAUACCGAUGGCGAAGGCAGCCCCCUGGGAUAACACUGACGCUCAUGCACGAAAGCGUGGGGAGCAAACAGG
RNAcentral lists this ribosomal RNA (253 nucleotides) under uncultured bacterium. Its description in RNAcentral is "partial 16S ribosomal RNA". It matches the Rfam family "Bacterial small subunit ribosomal RNA", at positions 524 to 776 of the family's 1533-position model. The record is from RNAcentral.